RNAcentral lists this ribosomal RNA (253 nucleotides) under uncultured bacterium. RNAcentral describes it as "partial 16S ribosomal RNA". It matches the Rfam family "Bacterial small subunit ribosomal RNA", at positions 524 to 776 of the family's 1533-position model. The record is from RNAcentral.
UACGGGGGGGGCAAGCGUUGUUCGGAAUUACUGGGCGUAAAGGGCUCGUAGGUGGCCAACUAAGUCAGACGUGAAAUCCCUCGGCUUAACCGGGGAACUGCGUCUGAUACUGGAUGGCUUGAGUUUGGGAGAGGGACGCGGAAUUCCAGGUGUAGCGGUGAAAUGCGUAGAUAUCUGGAGGAACACCGGUGGCGAAGGCGGCGUCCUGGACCAACACUGACACUGAGGAGCGAAAGCCAGGGGAGCGAACGGG